This 452-nucleotide ribosomal RNA is filed under the name Alloprevotella sp. oral taxon 474. RNAcentral's name for it is "bacterial SSU rRNA". It matches the Rfam family "Bacterial small subunit ribosomal RNA", at positions 28 to 469 of the family's 1533-position model. Lineage: Bacteria; Pseudomonadati; Bacteroidota; Bacteroidia; Bacteroidales; Prevotellaceae. The record is from RNAcentral.
GAUGAACGCUAGCUACAGGCUUAACACAUGCAAGUCGAGGGGCAGCAUGGAAGGAGCUUGCUUCUUCUGAUGGCGACCGGCGCACGGGUGCGUAACGCGUAUCAAACCUGCCUCAUACUCGGGGAUAGCCUUGCGAAAGUAAGAUUAAUACCCGAUGUUAUUAGUUCAUCGCAUGGUGGAUUAAUCAAAGAUUUAUCGGUAUGAGAUGGUGAUGCGUCCGAUUAGGUAGUAGGCGGGGUAACGGCCCACCUAGCCUUCGAUCGGUAGGGGUUCUGAGAGGAAGGUCCCCCACACUGGAACUGAGACACGGUCCAGACUCCUACGGGAGGCAGCAGUGAGGAAUAUUGGUCAAUGGACGCAAGUCUGAACCAGCCAAGUAGCGUGCAGGAUGACGGCCCUCCGGGUUGUAAACUGCUUUUAGUUGGGAAUAAAAAAAGGGACGUGUCCCUUAU